GUGCCAGCCGCCGCGGUAAUACGGAGAGGGCUAGCGUUAUUCGGAAUUAUUGGGCGUAAAGGGCGCGUAGGCUGGUUAAUAAGUUAAAAGUGAAAUCCCGAGGCUUAACCUUGGAAUUGCUUUUAAAACUAUUAAUCUAGAGAUUGAAAGAGGAUAGAGGAAUUCCUGAUGUAGAGGUAAAAUUCGUAAAUAUUAGGAGGAACACCAGUGGCGAAGGCGUCUAUCUGGUUCAAAUCUGACGCUGAAGCGCGAAGGCGUGGGGAGCAAACAGGAUUAGAUACCCUGGUAGUCCACGCUGUAAACGAUGAAUGUUAAAUAUGGGGAGUUUACUUUCUGUAUUACAGCUAACGCGUUAAACAUUCCGCCUGGGGACUACGGUCGCAAGAUUAAAACUUAAAGGAAUUGACGG
RNAcentral lists this ribosomal RNA (409 nucleotides) under Wolbachia endosymbiont of Bemisia tabaci. RNAcentral's name for it is "bacterial SSU rRNA". It matches the Rfam family "Bacterial small subunit ribosomal RNA", at positions 505 to 916 of the family's 1533-position model. The record is from RNAcentral. Lineage: Bacteria; Pseudomonadati; Pseudomonadota; Alphaproteobacteria; Rickettsiales; Anaplasmataceae.